UACUCGAGUGGCGAACGGGUGAGUAACACGUGGGUGAUCUGCCCUGCACUUCGGGAUAAGCUUGGGAAACUGGGUCUAAUACCGGAUAGGAGCCAUCUUUAGUGUGGUGGUUGGAAAGUUUUUUCGGUGUAGGAUGAGCUCGCGGCCAAUCAGCUUGUUGGUUGGGUAAUGGCCUACCAAGGCGGCGACGGGUAGCCGGCCUGAGAGGGUGUACGGCCACAUUGGAACUGAGAUACGGCCCAG
RNAcentral lists this ribosomal RNA (243 nucleotides) under uncultured Actinomycetales bacterium. Its description in RNAcentral is "partial 16S ribosomal RNA". It matches the Rfam family "Bacterial small subunit ribosomal RNA", at positions 88 to 334 of the family's 1533-position model. Lineage: Bacteria; Bacillati; Actinomycetota; Actinomycetes; Actinomycetales. The record is from RNAcentral.